AGUGGCCUAUGAUGUAAAAGUUGCCUACAUUGUCAGAUUGUUUUAUCUAUGACUGAGAAAUUAUCUGUCUGAGGCCUUU
This is a non-coding RNA of Citrus sinensis (sweet orange), 79 nucleotides long. The record is from Rfam. Lineage: Eukaryota; Viridiplantae; Streptophyta; Magnoliopsida; Sapindales; Rutaceae.